GGGGUUGUGGCUCAGUGGUGGAGCGCUUGCCUAGCGUGCAUGAGCACUGAAUUCAAUUCAUAGCACCA
This 68-nucleotide transfer RNA is filed under the name Ictidomys tridecemlineatus (thirteen-lined ground squirrel). Its description in RNAcentral is "Spermophilus tridecemlineatus (thirteen-lined ground squirrel) tRNA". It matches the Rfam family "tRNA". Rfam says of the family: Transfer RNA (tRNA) molecules are approximately 80 nucleotides in length. Their secondary structure includes four short double-helical elements and three loops (D, anti-codon, and T loops). Lineage: Eukaryota; Metazoa; Chordata; Mammalia; Rodentia; Sciuridae. RNAcentral also lists the same sequence under 1 other name. The record is from Rfam by way of RNAcentral.